RNA transcript from Arabidopsis lyrata subsp. lyrata, 3410 nucleotides. It is a transcript of the gene named L-type lectin-domain containing receptor kinase I.9, with no coding region annotated. The transcript has 4 exons. The record is from RefSeq and is a predicted model, not a curated record. Lineage: Eukaryota; Viridiplantae; Streptophyta; Magnoliopsida; Brassicales; Brassicaceae.
UCUCAAAUUACAGUUUCUUCUCAGUUAGUCUCACAUCUUCGAUACGGCCGUAGACAGGAGAAAGACACUUUUUAAUUCUGAAUUGAGCGGAAUUUUCUCGAUUAGGGUUCCGGAAAAGGUGAAUUUCCUUUAUCUGCUUGGUAUCGAUGAUUAAACAUGAAUUCUGGAAUUUACUGGUUUUGAGCAAUUGUUAGCUAGGAAGUGUGUCAACUGCGGAAAACUAAUCUUUUGGAAGAAAUUUUGUGGAUGCUAAUUGGCAGACCGUUUACAAGUGUUGGAAAAUGGUUUAGAUCUGAGACUGAGAGUUGAAUUUCUCAGCUCAAGAAGUUGAAACUAAGGUUGCUUUGCACAAUUGGUGUGUCAAAACUGACAACCAUUCUCUUUCAAGUCGCAUGACUUCUUCCUAUUCUGGAAACAUGUCCUAUAUAUAUCCUCUGCUGAUUGUUGGAAUCUUCCUUCAUUAGCAGUUAUCCAGAUAAUGUUCAAAGCUACACAAGGUGCAGCUUGCGAGGUGCACCGUCUUGAGUUCCACAUCAGAUCCAGACUCUCUGGUUCAUCAUCUGCAAUGGCUCGUUGGUUGCUUCAGAUCCUGAUCAUCUCUUCUCUUCAUCUGAUUUCUCUAUCAAGUCAACAAGAGACAAGCUUUGUCUAUGAAAGCUUCCUCGACCGACAAAAUCUUUAUCUUGACAAAUCUGCAAUAGUACUUCCCAGUGGUUUAUUGCAGCUUACGAAUGCUUCAGAGCACCAGAUGGGUCAUGCUUUCCACAAGAAACCAAUUGAGUUCAGUUCAUCUGGACCACUCUCUUUCUCAACACACUUUGUGUGUGCUCUGGUGCCUAAGCCACGUGUUGAAGGCGGCCAUGGUAUUGUCUUUGUAUUAUCUCCUUCUAUGGAUUUCACGCACGCAGAAUCAACUAGAUACUUGGGGAUUUUCAAUGCUUCAACAAGUGGAUCUUCCUCUUAUCACGUACUUGCUGUUGAGCUUGACACUAUUUGGAACCCAGAUUUCAAAGAUAUCGACCACAAUCAUGUGGGGAUUGAUGUGAACAGUCCUAUAUCUGUCGCAAUAGCUUCUGCAUCUUACUAUUCCGACAUGACAGGGAGUAACGAAAGCUUAAACCUUUUAAGCGGAAACCCUAUACAGGUCUGGGUGGAUUAUGAAGGCACUUUGCUCAAUGUGUCGAUUGCUCCUCUUGAAGUCCAGAAGCCAACUCGACCUCUUUUAUCACACCCCAUCAACCUUACAGAACUUUUUCCAAAUAGAUCAAGUCUGUUUGCUGGGUUCUCUGCAGCAACAGGGACAGCGAUCAGUGAUCAAUAUAUUCUCUGGUGGAGUUUUAGCACUGGCAGAGGAUCGCUGCAGCGACUUGAUAUCUCAAAACUUCCUCAAGUUCCUCAUCCUAGAGCUCCACAUAAGAAAGUAUCUACACUGAUUAUUCUCCUGCCCGUUUGUCUGGCUAUUUUGGUGCUGGCUGCUCUUGCAGGGCUUUAUUUCCGCAGGAGACGCAAGUAUGCAGAAGUAUCUGAAACAUGGGAAAAGGAGUUUGAUGCGCAUCGGUUCUCUUACAGGUCCUUGUUCAAAGCAACAAAGGGGUUCAGCAAAGAUGAAUUUCUGGGAAAAGGAGGUUUUGGAGAAGUUUUUAGAGGAAAUCUGCCACAAGGCAGAGAAAUAGCAGUGAAGAGAGUGUCCCAUAAUGGUGAUGAAGGUGUGAAGCAGUUUGUGGCUGAAGUCGUGAGCAUGAGAUGUCUGAAACACAGGAAUCUUGUACCACUGUUUGGGUAUUGCAGAAGAAAACGAGAACUUCUUCUUGUCUCAGAGUACAUGCCCAAUGGUAGUCUUGACGAGCAUUUGUUUGAUGACCAGAAACCGGUUCUUUCUUGGUCACAAAGACUUGUGGUUGUUAAGGGCAUAGCCUCUGCUCUCUGGUACCUGCAUACAGGUGCCGACCAAGUUGUCCUGCACCGAGAUGUCAAAGCUUCCAACAUUAUGUUAGACGCGGAGUUAAAUGGAAGGUUAGGGGAUUUUGGCAUGGCCAGGUUUCAUGAGCACGGAGGCAAUGCAGCUACAACAGCAGCUGUGGGAACUGUAGGGUACAUGGCGCCGGAGCUAAUCACAAUGGGAGCUUCCACUGGAACUGAUGUUUACGCAUUUGGUGUUUUCAUGCUUGAAGUAACCUGUGGGAGGAGGCCCGUGGAACCGCAGUUGCAAGUUGAGAAACGACAUAUGAUCAAAUGGGUUUGUGAGUGCUGGAAAAAGGAUUCUUUGCUUGAUGCUACUGACCCGCGAUUGGGAGGUGAAUUCAUAGCCGAGGAAGUCGAGAUGGUUAUGAAACUGGGUCUGCUCUGUUCAAAUAUAGUGCCAGAAUCCAGACCAACAAUGGAACAAGUGGUCCUUUACCUAAACAAAAACCUACCUUUGCCAGAUUUCUCUCCAUACACUUUGGGGAUUGGCACAUUUGCUCCUGUUCUGGUUGAUGCAUCCUCCCUUGUAGUCUCAUCUGCUUCAUGGAGUUGGUCAGGUCCCUCUAUGUCUUCUUCCUCGGCCAAUCACUCACCUUAUGCUUGUCAGUCAACAGAUCAGCCAUGGGGGCAGACAAUAGACACUAAGAACUCUCUUCACAUAAUUGCAGAACCAGAGAAGCCCUCACCGGCUGUCAAAACGGUCACAUUGCCUGCAGAAGAUCAUCAGUCCAAUAAUUCCAGCAUCGGCAGUCAGAGAUAAAUUCUCCUACACCUGUGGAGCGGAAAUAGCAAUUCGACAGAUUCUAGUCUAUUUCCAAGAUGAUUGUGUUUUUCCAUGAAGAGCUAGGUUAAUUAAUAUGCCAGCAAGAGACAAGGUUUGUCUAUGAAAACUUCCGCGGCCAAGAAAAUCUUUAUCUUGAUGGAUCUGCAAGAGUACUUCCCAGUGGAUUAUUGCAGCUUACAAAUGCUUUACAUCAUCAAAGGGCUCAUGUCUUCUAUUAGGAAUCAAUUGGGCUCAGUAACUCUAGACCACUCUCCUUCUCAACACAUUUUGUUUGCGCUCUGGUGCCUCAGCCUGGAGUUGAAGGCGGUCAUGGAAUGGCCUUUGUAGUAUCUCCUUCAAUGGAUUUCUCGCAUGCAGAAUCAACUAGAUACUUGGGGAUUUUCAACGUGUCAAAAAAUGGAUCUCCCUCUUCUCAUGUGCUUGCUGUUGAGCUUGACACUAUUUGGAACCCGGAUUUUGAAGAUAUCGACCACAAUCAUGUGGGGAUUGAUGUGAACAGUCCUCUGUCGGAUGGAAUAGCUUCGGCAUCUUACUUUUCCGACAUAAAGCGGAAGAACGAAAGCAUAAACCUCUUGAGUGGAAACCCAUUACAGGUUUGGGUUGAUUAUGAAGACAAUAUGCUCAAUGUUUCGAUGGCUCCUUGUGAAGUCCAGAAGCCAAGUCG